UGGGCGAUUAACUCAGUGGGAGAGUGCUAUCUUCACACGGUAGAAGUCGGCAGUUCAAAUCUGCCAUCGCCCAU
RNAcentral lists this transfer RNA (74 nucleotides) under subsurface metagenome. RNAcentral describes it as "tRNA-Val". It matches the Rfam family "tRNA". From Rfam's summary of the family: Transfer RNA (tRNA) molecules are approximately 80 nucleotides in length. Their secondary structure includes four short double-helical elements and three loops (D, anti-codon, and T loops). The record is from RNAcentral.